RNAcentral lists this long non-coding RNA (273 nucleotides) under Elaeis guineensis (African oil palm). RNAcentral's name for it is "long non-coding RNA (EGUI_LNC049420)". Lineage: Eukaryota; Viridiplantae; Streptophyta; Magnoliopsida; Arecales; Arecaceae. The record is from RNAcentral.
AUUCCUACAAGUUUAUCCUCCAAUAGCCGUUGGAGUUGUAGUGAAGACUCUUUUCCUUCUCCACAACUUUCUUCGGAGUGUCCUUCUUAGAUUUGCUCUCCUUCUUCUACUUCUUUACAGGUUUGUUCUUUUUCUUCCCUUGAGACUUUUUCUUGGAAGGUGCCCGCUCAAUAGCAAGAACAGUGCCCCUUGAACUUUUUAAGGUAUCCUCAGUAGUGACCAGUAUAUUGACCAACUCGAGUAAGUUGCAGUCUAAUUUAUUUAUAUGGUAGU